GUGGGGAAUAUUGCACAAUGGGCGAAAGCCUGAUGCAGCAACGCCGCGUGAAGGAUGAAGGCCUUUGGGUCGUAAACUUCUGUCCUUGGGGAAGAAAAAAAUGACGGUACCCCUGGAGGAAGUCCCGGCUAACUACGUGCCAGCAGCCGCGGUAAUACGUAGGGGGCGAGCGUUAUCCGGAAUUAUUGGGCGUAAAGAGUACGUAGGUGGUUUUUUAAGCGCAGGGUUUAAGGCGAUGGCUCAACUGUCGUUCGCCCUGUGAACUGGAAGACUUGAGUACAGGAGAGGAAAGCGGAAUUCCUAGUGUAGCGGUGAAAUGCAUAGAUAUUAGGAGGAACACCAGUGGCGAAGGCGGCUUUCUGGACUGUAACUGACACUGAGGUACGAAAGCGUGGGGAGCAAACAGGAUUAGAUACCCUUGUAGUCC
RNAcentral lists this ribosomal RNA (427 nucleotides) under uncultured bacterium. RNAcentral's name for it is "partial 16S ribosomal RNA". It matches the Rfam family "Bacterial small subunit ribosomal RNA", at positions 354 to 796 of the family's 1533-position model. The record is from RNAcentral.